AGCGAACGCUGGCGGCAGGCCUAACACAUGCAAGUCGAACGAGCCUUUCGGGUUUAUUGGGGGACGGGUGAGUAACACGUGGGAACGUGCCUUUAGGUUCGGAAUAACUCAGGGAAACUUGUGCUAAUACCGAAUGUGGCUUUCGGGGGGAAGAUUAAUCGCGUCUAGAGCGGGCCGCGGUUGAUUAGCUAGUUGGUUGGGGUAAUGGCCCGCCUAGGCUCCGGGCAGUGGCUGUUCUGGGAGGAUGAUCGGCCAACUUGGGACUGAGACACGGCCCAAACUCCUACGGGAGGCAGGGGUGGGGACUAUUGCGGCAUGGGCGAAAGCCUGACGCAGCCAUGCCGCGUGAAUGAUGAAGGUCUUAGGAUUGUAAAAUUCUUUCACCGGGGACGAUAAUGACGGUACCCGGAGAAGAAGCCCCGGCUAACUACGUG
RNAcentral lists this ribosomal RNA (434 nucleotides) under uncultured bacterium. Its description in RNAcentral is "partial 16S ribosomal RNA". It matches the Rfam family "Bacterial small subunit ribosomal RNA", at positions 29 to 507 of the family's 1533-position model. The record is from RNAcentral.